RNAcentral lists this ribosomal RNA (164 nucleotides) under uncultured bacterium. RNAcentral describes it as "partial 16S rRNA". It matches the Rfam family "Bacterial small subunit ribosomal RNA", at positions 355 to 511 of the family's 1533-position model. The record is from RNAcentral.
UGGGGAAUAUUGGACAAUGGGCGAAAGCCUGAUCCAGCCAUGCCGCGUGUGUGAAGAAGGUCUUCGGAUUGUAAAGCACUUUAAGUUGGGAGGAAGGGCAGUAAGCUAAUAUCUUGCUGUUUUGACGUUACCGACAGAAUAAGCACCGGCUAACUCUGUGCUAG